UACAGAGGGGGCAAGCGUUGUUCGGAAUUACUGGGCGUAAAGGGCGCGUAGGCGGCCUUCUAAGUCGAACGUGAAAUCCCUGGGCUCAACCCAGGAACUGCGUCCGAUACUGGAAGGCUUGAAUCCGGGAGAGGGAUGCGGAAUUCCAGGUGUAGCGGUGAAAUGCGUAGAUAUCUGGAGGAGCACCGGUGGCGAAGGCGGCAUCCUGGACCGGUAUUGACGCUGAGGCGCGAAAGCCAGGGGAGCAAACAGG
RNAcentral lists this ribosomal RNA (253 nucleotides) under uncultured bacterium. RNAcentral describes it as "partial 16S ribosomal RNA". It matches the Rfam family "Bacterial small subunit ribosomal RNA", at positions 524 to 776 of the family's 1533-position model. The record is from RNAcentral.